GGCUGGGUAGCUCAGUGGUAGAGCAGUGGACUCAUAAGCCAUUGGUCGGGGGUCCGAAUCCCCCCCCAGCCA
This 72-nucleotide transfer RNA is filed under the name Chloroflexota bacterium. RNAcentral describes it as "tRNA-Met". It matches the Rfam family "tRNA". Rfam says of the family: Transfer RNA (tRNA) molecules are approximately 80 nucleotides in length. Their secondary structure includes four short double-helical elements and three loops (D, anti-codon, and T loops). The record is from RNAcentral. RNAcentral also lists the same sequence under 1 other name. Lineage: Bacteria; Bacillati; Chloroflexota.